Long non-coding RNA from Rhodamnia argentea, 318 nucleotides. RefSeq lists it as uncharacterized. The transcript has 3 exons. Lineage: Eukaryota; Viridiplantae; Streptophyta; Magnoliopsida; Myrtales; Myrtaceae. The record is from RefSeq and is a predicted model, not a curated record.
AAUGUAGGAUAGUCAAGUAGGAGUAGCAUUCACUCGCAUGAUAAACGAGGAACUUUAUCCAAGUAAGAUUUCAAUCACACUAACAACAAAGACAUUUGACUUCUAGAAGCAGCUAAUAUGUCUAUAACACAACACCAAUUAUAAUUGUCACUCAAAGAAACCACGUAUAACGAUGUAAAUUGGAGCAAGAGUCAUGGGAACUACAUCUUCUAUCAGCGAGUGUAAUAAUUCCUCGUAAAUAUGCCUCGAAAGAUCUUUACAGCUAUUUGAAGACACUAUGGAGGCAUAUCCUUUUAAAGUGGUGGCGCAAUUACAUCA